ACGUUGAAGCUUCUAUGUCCAAGUCCUAAUCAAGUUUCAGCUUGAAAUUACCGCUUAAUUUACAACCAUGAGAAGAGAAUUUCAAUACUGAAUUAUUGACUACAAAUGAAAAAUAAUUAAAAAAAUGCAACACUGAGGGUUCAUCGAUAGAAACAUAUUACAAGCCUGAUCAGCGGGUGUUAACAAGCCAUGUCAGGCAAUUAAAAUAAAAAAACCAACCGACAUACAAUGCAUAUAGCCUAAGACUAGACUGAAACAUCCUGAAUAGGUUCUGCUAAUUUCCCUGCAACUGUCCUUUGCACCGCACACCAAAAUCACAUCCCCUGUACUCCUUCCGGAUCUUUAACUUUCCCCCACGGCAGAUGAAGCUACAAAGCCAAUGACCAGCCUUAUAAACAGGUCGCACAUCACUCUCCUGCCCGUUACUGAAGAACUGCCUCCUCUCCAUAUAUGCUGCACUGCUGCCCUUUGUGAUCUAGGUUGCCCCAACUCUGAAAACUACCCUACUUUCGCUGCUGCAUUUGUCGUAAAUGAUAGAUAGAAGAUAAACUUUUUAACUUAUAACAUAUGAUGAAGUCCUGUAAAGUAAAUACUUAGUGUGGCUUUGGAGAAUUUGACCGAGAGAGUAAGAGAGGAUAGAUCAUUAUAUGCUAAAAUUCCUCUUAAAAAAAACAGAAUUAUAAUGUGAGAACACAUACGUUUGCUGCUAAGAUCAAGUAAAACCCAAAAUGAAAUUUUCAUUGAAUUCAAACAAGGAGUCCACUACGUACGUACAGGUUCCAUGUUUCUAAGAAUGGACCAUUUAAUCAUACGGCACCCAUGUUUGAACCAUUCGUGUUAAAAGACUGACACGAGAGAACAAAUCAUUAUAACAAUAAAUUCCUGUUAACAAAACAAGAUGAGAAAAAAUUGCAAAUUAGGAACGUGAAAGGAUAUGUGAUAUUGAUUAAUACAAGAGCAAACCAAGAUUGAAACACAUAUUAAUUUUUGAAGAAAACUUACUUUCAUUGUUCA
This 1014-nucleotide long non-coding RNA is filed under the name Aquilegia coerulea. Its description in RNAcentral is "long non-coding RNA (ACOE_LNC001196)". Lineage: Eukaryota; Viridiplantae; Streptophyta; Magnoliopsida; Ranunculales; Ranunculaceae. The record is from RNAcentral.